GAGCUGAGUUGAUUCUCCUCAUCAUCCUACUAUAAAAUGACUUGUGCAUCAACCUUAAUACUUAUGCAUGUCUAUCUCGCUUUGUAUAAUUGGUAUAAGAACACCACAAUUAAGCGUGCAAAAAAACACAUUUUAGGCAUUAGUGCCAACUGAUCCCUCCAAUAUGAUAUUAAUUCUACAAAUGUAAAUGUAAGGUUUGUUUUUCUGAAGGUGAGGGUAUAAGAUGCAAGAAUAAAGAGAUAAUAUCAGACAAAUGGAAGGUGCGUAUCCCAUACUUAGCCACUACCAAAAUACCAAAUAACGCUGAUCCAAUCUAAUCAAACN
This 324-nucleotide long non-coding RNA is filed under the name Hordeum vulgare. RNAcentral describes it as "long non-coding RNA (HVUL_LNC005383)". Lineage: Eukaryota; Viridiplantae; Streptophyta; Magnoliopsida; Poales; Poaceae. The record is from RNAcentral.